This 252-nucleotide ribosomal RNA is filed under the name uncultured bacterium. RNAcentral's name for it is "partial 16S ribosomal RNA". It matches the Rfam family "Bacterial small subunit ribosomal RNA", at positions 524 to 776 of the family's 1533-position model. The record is from RNAcentral.
UACGUAGGGUGCGAGCGUUUAAUCGGAAUUACUGGGCGUAAAGCGUGCGCAGGCGGUUUUGUAAGCCAGGUGUGAAAUCCCCGGGCUCAACCUGGGAAUGGCAUUUGGGACUGCAAGGCUGGAGUGCGGCAGAGGAGACUGGAAUUCCUGGUGUAGCAGUGAAAUGCGUAGAUAUCAGGAGGAACACCGAUGGCGAAGGCAGGUCUCUGGGCUGACACUGACUCAUGCACGAAAGCGUGGGGAGCAAACAGG